Molecule: transfer RNA, 64 nt
Filed under: Mustela putorius furo (domestic ferret)
Lineage: Eukaryota; Metazoa; Chordata; Mammalia; Carnivora; Mustelidae
Rfam family: tRNA
About the family: Transfer RNA (tRNA) molecules are approximately 80 nucleotides in length.
Source: Rfam by way of RNAcentral
GGGCGAUUGGCUCAGUCAGUAGAGCAUGAGACUCUUGAUCUCAGGGUUGUAAGUUCAAGGCCCA